Non-coding RNA from Rattus norvegicus (Norway rat), 69 nucleotides. The record is from Rfam. NCBI's taxonomy places the organism in Eukaryota, Metazoa, Chordata, Mammalia, Rodentia, Muridae.
GGGGAUUUAGCUCAGUGGUAGAGCGCUUGCCUAGCAAGCACAAGGCCCUGGGUUCGAUCCUCAGCUCCA